This is a long non-coding RNA of Canis lupus familiaris (dog), 416 nucleotides long. RefSeq lists it as uncharacterized. NCBI's taxonomy places the organism in Eukaryota, Metazoa, Chordata, Mammalia, Carnivora, Canidae. The record is from RefSeq and is a predicted model, not a curated record. The transcript has 3 exons.
AUAAGCAGAGGGAGAAGCAGGCUCCCUGCAGGGAGCCUGAUGUGGGACUCGAUCCCAGGACCGCCAGAUCACGCCCUGAGCUGAAAGCAGACGCUCAACCACUGAGCCAUCCAGGCGUCCCUUGUCGAGGCUUUUAAAUGUAGUGGAGUAUGGAGGUUAAGACCAUGGGCCCUGUGUUUGAAGUGCCUCCGGAAGGUGACUCUGUCUCUCAGUCUUUCUCGGCAAAACUCUCAGAGUUUGUAAGCAUUGAAGGAGAAAUGCAUGUGAAAACCAUAAAGGGCGGCCACCAUGCAAGAAAGCUGACUACUUUGGGGCCACCAUACUGUGAAGAAGCCCAAGCCAGCCACUUGAAGAGCCUACAUAGGAAUCAUGAAGACAUCUGACAAGUAAGUAAAGUCUUCUUGGACUGUCCAGCU